CAAAUUUAUUUCAAACAAGCCAAUAGGAAUUAGUUCUGCGACAAGUGACAACAAAAAAGCAAGUCAGAGUUCGGGUCACCGUCCCGGUGUCGUAAGACGUCUUCACUGCACUUUGCUAAUUCAUGCAGUGAAGACGCUGUAUUGAGGAAUCGCUCGCAACGGAGCCGGUACCCCACUCACCCUGACCAUUUAAUUCCGCCUUUCAGAGCAUUCCCAAUUACAACCUGGUGAGAAAACGAGACGCCUACGUACGAGAACAGGCCAAGCUGCGUGCCAAGAUCGACGAAUUCUUUCACCGCACCGAAUCUAGAAUGAUGUUGGACCAAGACACUGCAGGACCGCGGUUUCACGGCAGAGAAGGGCCACCUCCAGCAGCCGUUUAUGAAGAAUUUUGGCCCCGCACAAUUUUCAAAGAGGAACCGUCUCCGGAAAACACCAUGGCGGAUUCUCGCGACAUUAGCUGUCGGAUGAAAACGGGAGCCACCGACCAAGCCACCGAAGCCGCUUCUUACCAGAGCUCCGCACCAUUCACAAUCUCCAAAGAUGCAUACUCAGCCGCUCGGAAUGUGGCUGAUGAUGCCAGCUACCGUGUCAAAGCAAGGGCCGUCACUCGAGCCGUUCAGACUAAUCCACAUCCGACACGACACGCAGUAAAGCACCGGGUGACGUUUGCAUUCGACGCUCCGGUAACGGUGCAGUCAAAACCACCAUGUAGACCUCCAAGACACACGCGCCGUAUAGGUAAGAAGCGUGUGAGAAGGACAAAAUCACCACUCCGUAUGAAAAUUUCCCAGCGGCUUCUACUCAGUGGCGGGGUGAUGUACAAUUCCCCCAACACAGCGUUUCUAUGUCGCUUUGGCAAUAUGGCUCACUAAGCAAAUGUCAAGCAGGUGUUUCCAGAGUGCCAUGAUUGCAUGCGUACCGCCUUUGACGAAAACAACAUUCAUACCGUCAUAUUGUUAUCAAGUGCUAUCGCUUACAACAAUAUGAUUGAAUGAAUGUCGUUAUAACGUGCCACCUGUGAACAAAACCACAAUGAUAAUUUUAUUUUUUUACAAUAUCACUUUAUAGCCCUUGUUAUUAAAGUAGCACUUAGUUACGCAUAUUCGCACAGAGACAACUGACCAUCGAAGGUUCGCGUAUUAUUCACUGGCCCCGUACUAGUUCAUUGAUACUCGCAAUGGCACCCAUAUUACUCUAAUAGUAGUAAAGAUCUAUCAGGAGGGCUGAAAACUGGGAGCCUUGGCGAUACGUUAUGAUUAAGCUGCAGCGCUUACGGGGAUGAGCAGACUUACUGCCCGUUUUCUUCCUAUUCGCCUGUGUUUGUCGGUGUGGGCGAUGCUGGUUGUGAAGUAGUACAAGUUGUUGUUCAAUUAUUUAUAGUGUCAGCUCAUUUCAGCUGCAUUGUUUUGUAAUAUAGAAAAGGUCUUGCAAUCAAUCGUCAAAUAUCUGUCUACCGAGGACCUGCUGGUUUGCCGUCGAGUGUGCCGGGUUUGGAAACGCAUCAUUGAGAGACCCCAGCACUGGCUCCACAUAAAACUCAAGCAUGCGAUCGUCUCCGCCCAGAUUUUCCGCGAAAUGGCAAGAUGGUGCUCAGCCGUCCAGAGCAUAUCGCUUGAAGCUCUUGAAGCGGCUUCUGGGGAUCUCAAGCAAGCGCCAGCCAACGCUAGGGCUCACCUUGAGCACGGUUUCGACGAGCUCCUGAAGGCUUGUUCCAAUACGCUGAAGGUGCUUACAAUCAUCGGCUGCGACAAUGUGCUUACAGACAGGCAAGUUUCUUGGCAAAAGUCACUGCAUAUUUUCAUUAAGAAAUUCCUAAUAUGUAAGUUAUGGCUAAACGGCGCGAUUGAUUGAUUGAUUGAUUGAUUGAUUGAUUGAUUGAUUGAUUGAUUGAUUGAUUGAUUGAUUGA
This 1910-nucleotide long non-coding RNA is filed under the name Dermacentor andersoni. RNAcentral describes it as "uncharacterized LOC126545791". The record is from RNAcentral. Lineage: Eukaryota; Metazoa; Arthropoda; Arachnida; Ixodida; Ixodidae.